UGGUUCUGGCAUCGAUGAAGAACGCAGCGAAAUGCGAUAAGUAAUGCGAAUUGCAGAAUUCAGCGAGUCAUCGAAUCUUUGAACGCACAUUGCGCCCACUGGCAUUCUAGUGGGCAUGCCUGUCCGAGCGUCAUUUCCCCCCUCAGGCACCAUGCUGCCUGGCGUUGGGGCCUCUACGUCCCCCCGCGGCGUAGGCCCUCAAGACCAGUGGCGGGCUCGCCAGCACACCCGAGCGCAGUAGCACACACAACGCUCAGGGGGUCUGGCGGGCUGCCGGCCGUUAAAGCCCUUCUCAGGAAGACAACACAAAGGUUGACCUCGGAUCAGGUAGGAAUACCCGCUGA
This 344-nucleotide unclassified non-coding RNA is filed under the name uncultured fungus. RNAcentral's name for it is "partial contains 5.8S ribosomal RNA and internal transcribed spacer 2". The stretch from base 1 to 133 matches the Rfam family "5.8S ribosomal RNA", at positions 22 to 154 of the family's 154-position model. Lineage: Eukaryota; Fungi. The record is from RNAcentral.